AUGCAGUCAUUUUUGCAAACCCAGAGAAGCUUGAAGUGGACACGCUGCUUUUUUUUGUUGAACAACUUUGGAGAUUCCAUAGGUUUAAAACUCAACCAGGCAAAAGCAUCUGUUAUUCCGAUCAACUGCGGAGGGAUUCAGUUAUAGGAGGUGCUACAAAAUUUUGGUGGCCAGCUGUCUGCUUUCCCGAUGACUUACCUAGGGCUGCCGAUCUCUCCAUGAAAGCUGCGACUGGUGCACCUUCAGUUCAUCAUUGAUCGGGUCUGCUCGAGGCUCGCGGGGCGGAAAGGCAGAUUGAUGAGCAUGGCCGGCAGGCGGGUGCUAGUGUGUAGAAUCCUAACAUCUCUACCCGUUUUUGCUCUAAUUAUACUCAAAGUGCCCAAGAAAAUCCUCAAGGAGGUGGACAAAACGCGUAGACAAUUCCUUUAG
Molecule: ribosomal RNA, 429 nt
Filed under: Triticum aestivum (bread wheat)
Lineage: Eukaryota; Viridiplantae; Streptophyta; Magnoliopsida; Poales; Poaceae
Description: partial small subunit ribosomal RNA
Source: RNAcentral